RNAcentral lists this long non-coding RNA (587 nucleotides) under Brachypodium distachyon (stiff brome). RNAcentral describes it as "long non-coding RNA (BDIS_LNC001749)". Lineage: Eukaryota; Viridiplantae; Streptophyta; Magnoliopsida; Poales; Poaceae. The record is from RNAcentral.
AGGUAACUAACGAUUGGGCAACUGGGUGAAAGAAGAAUCCCCAAAUCCCCAAUGCCCCCGUCUGAUUCCAUCCCAACCGACGAGGGUACCGACGGCGACCAACUGGGUCGCCGGCGCACCGCUCCCUCAGCGCACAACGCCAACCAACUGGGGCACCACGAAGCGACUGCACGGCUAGCCGCAGCGACACGGCGCUAACCACCCGCUGGCGGCAGCAGCAGACGCUACCUACGGUGGCGCUGGCCCCAGGCGACCGGCCGGCCACGGCGAUGUCCCCCCCGCGCGUUGCUGACCCCAAGAGACGACGAAGCUCUGCUGGUUUCCUGGCUUAAGCUGUGUUUUCUGAACUUGUAUUGGCUGAAGCUGUCUUUUCUGAAGAUAGAUAUGUUGUUUCAGGAAAGUUUGGCUGAAGCUGUGUUUUCUGGAUCAAUUCUUAGUAGCUGAAUCAAUGGUUAUAUGAUCUGCUGGAUGUACAGAUUUGUAAUUGCGCAUUGAUUCGGCUAAACCAAUGUACAUGUACAGGAAUCAAUGUGAUUGUACACAGAAUACUUGAAUGAAUGAUACAUGAAAUAUUUGUUGAUUUCCUA